GCCCUAAAUCUAGCCUUAAAAACUCGCAUGAACCUCCCUCCCAGAAACUUAAAACAAAACAUUUUCUUAUCAUAGUACAGGCGAUCGAAAAAUUUCUAAGCGCUUCAGAUAAAGUACCGC
This 120-nucleotide ribosomal RNA is filed under the name Rana sp. CEN-2012. Its description in RNAcentral is "partial 16S ribosomal RNA". Lineage: Eukaryota; Metazoa; Chordata; Amphibia; Anura; Ranidae. The record is from RNAcentral.